This is a long non-coding RNA of Oncorhynchus keta (chum salmon), 488 nucleotides long. RefSeq lists it as uncharacterized. The transcript has 3 exons. NCBI's taxonomy places the organism in Eukaryota, Metazoa, Chordata, Actinopteri, Salmoniformes, Salmonidae. The record is from RefSeq and is a predicted model, not a curated record.
ACUGUUCAUUCUAUUGGAGGUGAUGUAGCGUUGUAAUGUCACACUGUUCAUUCUAUUGGAGGUGAUGUAACGUUGUAAUGUCACACUGUUCAUUCUAUUAGAGGUGAUGUAACGUUGUAAUGUCACACUGUUCAUUCUAUUGGAGGUGAUGUAACGUUGUAAUGUCACACUGUUCAUUCUAUUGGAGGUGAUGUAAUGUCACACUGUUCAUUCUAUUGGAGGUGAUGUAACGUUGUAAUGUCACACUGUUCAUUCUAUUGGAGGUGAUGUAACGUUGUAAUGUCACACUGUUCAUUCUAUUGGAGGUGAUGUAACGUUGUAAUGUCACACUGUUCAUUCUAUUGGAGGUGAUGUAACGUUGUAAUGUCACACUAUUCAUUAUAUUGGAGGUGAUGUAAUGUCACACUGUUCAUUCUAUUGGAGGUGAUGUAACGUUGUAAUGUCACACUGUUCAUUCUAUUGGAGGUGAUGUAACGUUGUAAUGUCAC